CAAUGUAUCUGUUGCUGAGCUAGUGAUACCGGGGGCUGACCUUUCAUAGCACUUGAGGUGUGUUAUUUUGCAAAACGUAGAUAUGUUGGAUCCCUAGUGUUUAUUUGACAUAUCGUUUUAUAAUUUGAAAUUGAUAGUCAUUUUGCUUGUUGGUUUUUAUUUUCCUUCUAAUUUUUCCUCAAGUGAAGAAUCACUAUUGUGGUAAAACCAACAAAUCCAGAAGAGUAACCUGGCCCAUUUUAACAUUUAGCUCCCAUUUCUACCUCGAAUAGUAAAGAUUUAUGGUAAAUAACUGUGAAAUAUGUACUAAAAGAGUAUUCAAGUAGAUUUUCUCUGUUUUCUCAUGUUUAUCAAAUGAUUCUUUCAGUUUUUCCAAAUAUCAAGUAAAAUCUUGCAGAAUGUUGAAUGCCUCAAUCAUGAGUGGUGCUUAAAAAACUUAUAUUUUAGAAAAUGCUGAUUCAACGGGUUCAGAAAACCAUUCAAAGCCUUUGGGCCUGGUAACAUGGUCUUCUCCUGUAGUGCAAGUAGUUUCUUUGGUCCUGGGUUGAAGUUUCACUAAUGAUUAAUGAAGGGGCUUUUAAGGAAGUAGGGAGUACCUGACGUGUAUUUGGGCAUAUGGAAAGAAUGAGAGAUAUGUUUCUGAAGACAUUUACACUGCAGGGCAUGAGGCCUCAAGAACUGGUAGCAUGAAAUUUCUUAUGAAUGGAUGUCUACUCUUAGCUACAGCUGAUGGUUCAACAGUUGAAAUUAUUGAAGAAAUUGGGGCAGAAAAUAUGGUACUAUUAUUAUUCUUGUAAUUUUGAAUACCUCUGUUUAUCAUCAAAAAUAUGAUGUCAUGGGUUGAGCAGAGAAAAAAUUCAUUCAGAAAUAUUCAAUAGUCAUUUCAAGAUGGUUGAAGCACUAAGCAUGAUGUCUGAUUAUUUUCCUAUAAGAUGUGAUUGCUUUUCCUGUCCAUGCAUUGUUCACCCAAUAUUGGUUGUGUGGGGACAGAUUUCUGAGUAGAGUUCUUCUGUUUCUUUUUCCAGUUUUUGUUUGGUGCAAAGCUGGAUGAAGUUCCAAUCUUGCGUGAGAGAGGACCCAACAGGAAAGUGAAUCUGCAAUUUGCACGGGUUGUGAGGUAGUACCUGUUUU
RNA transcript from Humulus lupulus (European hop), 1131 nucleotides. RefSeq lists it as uncharacterized. The transcript has 2 exons. Lineage: Eukaryota; Viridiplantae; Streptophyta; Magnoliopsida; Rosales; Cannabaceae. The record is from RefSeq and is a predicted model, not a curated record.